Hordeum vulgare subsp. vulgare (domesticated barley) is the source of this 2909-nucleotide RNA transcript. RefSeq lists it as uncharacterized. The transcript has 2 exons. NCBI's taxonomy places the organism in Eukaryota, Viridiplantae, Streptophyta, Magnoliopsida, Poales, Poaceae. The record is from RefSeq and is a predicted model, not a curated record.
GUGACGCGAAUUUAGUAUUUAUUACUUGCACCUGCCUAAUUCUGUAAUCACUUUUGCUUCGGUACAACCCCCCUCCCCCACAAAACGUAUAAAGGAGAAUGUAUAUCCACCUCGUAUUAUACACUCCUUAUAUAGUAUACGUAUGACGGCCUAUAGUGUACAAUACGAGGUGGGUAUACAUUUUCCUUUAUACGUUUUAUGAAGGAGGGGGUUGUACCGAAGCACACCUCUUCUGUAAUACUAAAGUAAAACAGUCCCGCUUCAGCUCAAACUAAUUACAUUAUUUUGCUUAGGUGACACUACAUCUAACAAAGUUCCUGCCUGCUGGCAUGUUGCAUUUAUCCCCAAGAACAUGAAUACAUGACAUAUUGACAUAGCUGUAGCAUGUCCAUUCCUAUUCCAACGGUCUUCUACAAGGACUGCCUCAUAUCCCAUCAACAUGGGGAAAACUUUUGGUAAGGCUACAUAUAUCUUCCUAGUUCCCCUUUUUUCUUUUUAUUAUGCAACUGGAUAAAGAUUCUAGGUCAUUAAACACACUGACAUGAGCGAACCAACACCGCCCCGCUCGGGCGUGGCGACGGGCGAGAUUUCACCUACCGCCAUUAAUGUCAAUUACUGCCGCCCACCGCUCACCCUCGAGCUGCCCCACCGCCCGUCUCCACUUGGCCUCGAGCCUCCCCUCCACUCCCAGCCUUCGACGCACGGCGACGAUUCCUAUCCGUCAGAGAGUCGUGACUGCAUCGGGUGCGUUUCCUCUCCCUCGGCCGCUCCCCAUCUCGAUGGCGGGCGAGAGAAGAAGGAUCCGGGUGCGGCGACUCCGCACGGAGAUGGUGUCGCCGCCGCGGGCUCUAGGCGCUCCAACUCCGAUAAUGCUGCUGCCAUCAGCAGAACUUCGGUCGGCGGAGGCCCGUGCGGAGAUGAUGCGGGUGGUUCGAGGGAAAUUCCCGGAUCGAGCAAGUUGGCCAGGGGUGAUGGUGGAGAUAAUCCGCAUGGCAACCUUCGCGGAACGAGCUCGUUUCUGCGGCGACGAUGGAGGCAUGGAUUACGAGUUCGUGUAUUGGGCGAUGCGGGAGGCGGAGGCCACGGAUCCAGGAGUGGCGAGGAAGUGGAGCCGAUUCAAAUCGUCGAUUCCAUUCCUCCUCAACAUCAAUCCCCCGUCGGUGCUGGAGAUAUCUCAGAUUCCUCGCGAGGAGCUGCCGCCGGGGAUCGAUCCUCCUCAAGCCAGUUGACCUCGCGGGGCCCUGGCGGGCGUGCUUCGCGGCGAGGACGUCGGGCGGGGAAGGAGCUUCAUCGCUUCGAACCACCGCCAUGGCCAGGAGAUCGAGGUUUGGUUCUUCCUCAUCGCAAUCGGGUUAGUCGAUCUUUCCCUUUUCCUUUCCGUCAUGUAUUUUCAAUGACUGGUUCUUGUGAUCUUCUGAUCACUGAUGUGGGUGAGAGGAAUCAGAAGAAGGCCCCGUGCGACCUUUUGGUUAUUGCUGGGGGUAGUAGUCUUACUUCCGAUUUGGAUUCAGAUAAGAUUUCUAGGGGGAUUUGUAUCCCACCCAAUAUCCCUACAUUAGGAUCAAACAAGCCUGGAGGUUUGUAUGAGUUGAGGUAAUGUUCUGAUGUUAAAUCAGGAAAUCCCUCCUCUGCUUCUGUGGAUGAUGCUGGGGAUUGUAGUUGUAGGAUUGUUCCUCCAAAGAUUGAAGAGGAGUUCGGUAGUUGUAUGGCACUAGUAACUGGGUUUAUACCCGAGGACAAAACUUCAGAGAUGAUAGAACUUUCUGUGAAUCCAUGUCAAAAGAUAGUUAUUCCUGCUUCUGCAGAUGGUGAACACAAAUCUGGUGACUCUGUUUGCGUGGAUUUGAAUGGAGAUGAGCUAAAUGAGAAAGAAAUUGAUAUAAUGCGCGGGUCAGUGAUAGAUUGUGAAAAAGUGGAAUUUGAGGAAAGUAAAAAGGAAAGUAAGCAGGUUGUUUCUGCAACAGUGGGAGCUGAGUUGGAUAAGAAUAUAAAAGACUGGACUCCUCUGGGGACAAUGGCAGCUUCUAAGCCGUUGAUCAGAGGAUCUGUGGUGCCCAGGAAAGCAGGAAAGAAGAAUACGCCUUCUGGGCCACAUUACAGUUUCGAGGAGGAGGUGGCUGAUUUUUAUGGACAGCUCUGGGUUAUCCCUUCCCCCAGCCGCCGCCAGAAGAGACCCAAACCUUGUCUGCCCCCUCCAAACCCUAAUUUCCCUCUAGGAAGUCGGUUGUUCUGGAUCAGGAAAGACAAGUUCAGAUCUGGCUGCUUCUCUGUAGAAGACUGCUAUCCUGUAGUUCACCCUGGUAGAUUUGACCCCAUCCCAACUGAAUUCCAGAUCGAUAGUGGGGGUUUGUGCCCUGGCAAGCUUUCUUUUGUGGGUGCUGUGAAGAAGAAGAUGGAUCAAAGAGGGGGACAUCGAGCUAGGAGACAGCCUCCAAAAAAAGGGGAUCAGGGGGCUACCUCUCAUCCUCCUGCUGCUCCUACUGUUCCUGCUACUCCACCUCCAGUUCCUUAUUUUAUGAGUGGGGCGCAAAUGGAGAAGUCUGGACUGCAAAAUUGUCAAGUUAAGAGGGAUUUUGCUUCGAUGGGAAGUUCUUUGUGGCGCUGCUCAGCAAACCGAACUGAAGCAGUUCAUUCGUCUGCUGGACAAGCGUCGGGGGGAGAUCCUGAGGAUUGCUUGGCGAUGAUCUGAAGACCUAUCCUUAUCCUUAGUUUCUUUUCUCCCUUGGUAGUUUAUCUUGGCUUGUAAUAAAUGUAGAUUACUUUGCACUUUCCAGGACAGCUUCCUUUGUUGGGGUCUGCCUGUGGUUAUUUUCGGUUGAUGUGUUAACUGUUGUGUAGCUGGUUUAUGGGCUUUUUCUGCUCCAUUUAUAAAAAGUGGGGUAGGGGGGGAAACCCCUUUCGUUCAAAAA